Molecule: transfer RNA, 72 nt
Filed under: Ophiophagus hannah (king cobra)
Lineage: Eukaryota; Metazoa; Chordata; Lepidosauria; Squamata; Elapidae
Rfam family: tRNA
About the family: Transfer RNA (tRNA) molecules are approximately 80 nucleotides in length. Their secondary structure includes four short double-helical elements and three loops (D, anti-codon, and T loops).
Source: Rfam by way of RNAcentral
CCCUCAUUAGUAUAGUGAUAAGUAUCCCUGUCUGUCACACGGGAGACUGGGGUUCAAUUCCCCAACGGGGAG